UUGGAUCCAGACUUUGAUCAUGGCUCAGAUUGAACGCUGGCGGCAUGCCUUACACAUGCAAGUCAAACGGCAGCAUGGAGAGCUUGCUCUCUGAUGGCGAGUGGCGGACGGGUGAGUAAUACAUCGGAACGUGUCCGUUUGUGGGGGACAACCGUCCGAAAGGAUGGCUAAUACCGCAUAAGACCUGAGGGUGAAAGCCGGGGACCGCAAGGCCCGGCGCAGACGGAGCGGCCGAUGAUUGAUUAGCUAGUUGGGGAGGUAAAGGCUCACCAAGGCGACGAUCAAUAGCUGGUCUGAGAGGACGACCAGCCACACUGGAACUGAGACACGGUCCAGACUCCUACGGGAGGCAGCAGUGGGGAAUUUUGGACAAUGGGGGCAACCCUGAUCCAGCCAUGCCGCGUGCGGGAAGAAGGCCUUCGGGUUGUAAACCGCUUUUGUCAGGGACGAAAAGCUCCGGAGUAAUAUGCCGGAGUGCUGACGGUACCUGAAGAAUAAGCACCGGCUAACUACGUGCCAGCAGCCGCGGUAAUACGUAGGGUGCAAGCGUUAAUCGGAAUUACUGGGCGUAAAGCGUGCGCAGGCGGUUGGGUAAGACAGAUGUGAAAUCCCCGGGCUUAACCUGGGAACUGCAUUUGUGACUGUCCGACUGGAGUACGUCAGAGGGGGGUGGAAUUCCACGUGUAGCAGUGAAAUGCGUAGAUAUGUGGAAGAACACCGAUGGCGAAGGCAGCCCCCUGGGACGCAACUGACGCUCAUGCACGAAAGCGUGGGGAGCAAACAGGAUUAGAUACCCUGGUAGUCCACGCCCUAAACGAUGUCUGCUGGUUGUUGGGAAUUUAAUUCUCAGUAACGAAGCCAACGCGUGAAGCAGACCGCCUGGGGAGUACGGUCGCAAGAUUACAACUCAAAUGAAUUGACGGA
RNAcentral lists this ribosomal RNA (924 nucleotides) under uncultured organism. Its description in RNAcentral is "bacterial SSU rRNA". It matches the Rfam family "Bacterial small subunit ribosomal RNA", at positions 1 to 917 of the family's 1533-position model. The record is from RNAcentral.